UACGGGGGGGGCAAGCGUUGUUCGGAAUUACUGGGCGUAAAGGGCUCGUAGGCGGCCAACUAAGUCAGACGUGAAAUCCCUCGGCUUAACCGGGGAACUGCAUCUGAUACUGGAUGGCUUGAGUUCGGGAGAGGGAUGCGGAAUUCCAGGUGUAGCGGUGAAAUGCGUAGAUAUCAGGAAGAACACCAAUGGCGAAGGCAGCUCUCUGGGACGGUACUGACGCUGAGACGCGAAAGCGUGGGGAGCGAACAGG
RNAcentral lists this ribosomal RNA (253 nucleotides) under uncultured bacterium. Its description in RNAcentral is "partial 16S ribosomal RNA". It matches the Rfam family "Bacterial small subunit ribosomal RNA", at positions 524 to 776 of the family's 1533-position model. The record is from RNAcentral.